RNAcentral lists this ribosomal RNA (481 nucleotides) under uncultured bacterium. RNAcentral describes it as "partial 16S ribosomal RNA". It matches the Rfam family "Bacterial small subunit ribosomal RNA", at positions 28 to 523 of the family's 1533-position model. The record is from RNAcentral.
GAUGAACGCUGGCGGCGUGCUUAACACAUGCAAGUCGAGCGAGUGAGCUCUUCGGAACGAUCUAGCGGCGGACGGGUGAGUAACACGUGGGCAACCUGCCUCAUAGAGGGGAAUAGCCUCCCGAAAGGGAGAUUAAUACCGCAUAAAAUUAUCGAGUGGCAUCACAUGAUAAUCAAAGGAGUAAUCCGCUAUGAGAUGGGCCCGCGGCGCAUUAGCUAGUUGGUGAGGUAACGGCUCACCAAGGCGACGAUGCGUAGCCGACCUGAGAGGGUGAUCGGCCACAUUGUGACAGGCACACGUCCCAGACUCCUACGGGAGGCAGCAGUGAGGAAUAUUGCACAAUGGGCGCAAGCCUGCUGCAGCACCGCCGCGUGAGGGAUGACGGCCUUCGGGUUGUAGACCUCUUUUAGUAGGGAAGAAGCGAAAGUGACGGUACCUGCAGAAAAAGCACCGGCUAACUACGUGCCAGCAGCCGCGGUAA